GACGAACGCUGGCGGCGUGCUUAACACAUGCAAGUCGAACGGACCCUUUGGGGUUAGUGGCGAACGGGUGAGUAACACGUGGGUGAUCUGCCCUGCACUUUGGGAUAAGCCUGGGAAACUGGGUCUAAUACCGGAUAGGACUACGCACUGCAUGGUGUGUGGUGGAAAGCUUUUGCGGUGUGGGAUGGGCCCGCGGCCUAUCAGCUUGUUGGUGGGGUGAUGGCCUACCAAGGCGACGACGGGUAGCCGGCCUGAGAGGGUGACCGGCCACACUGGGACUGAGAUACGGCCCAUACUCCUACAGGAGGCAGCAGUGGGGAAUAUUGCACAAUGGGCGCAAGCCUGAUGCAGCGACGCCGCGUGAGGGAUGACGGCCUUCGGGUUGUAAACCUCUUUCGCCAGGGACGAAGCGCAAGUGACGGUACCUGAAGAAGAAGGACCGGCCAACUACGUGCCAGCAGCCGCGGUAAUACGUAGAGUCCGAGCGUUGUCCGGAAUUACUGGGCGUAAAGAGCUCGUAGGUGGUUUGUCGCGUUGUUCGUGAAAACUCACAGCUUAACUGUGGGCGUGCGGGCGAUACGGGCAGACUGGAGUACUGCAGGGGAGACUGGAAUUCCUGGUGUAGCGGUGGAAUGCGCAGAUAUCAGGAGGAACACCGGUGGCGAAGGCGGGUCUCUGGGCAGUAACUGACGCUGAGGAGCGAAAGCGUGGGGAGCGAACAGGAUUAGAUACCCUGGUAGUCCACGCCGUAAACGGUGGGUACUAGGUGUGGGUUUCCUUCCUUGGGAUCCGUGCCGUAGCUAACGCAUUAAGUACCCCGCCUGGGGAGUACGGCCGCAAGGCUAAAACUCAAAGGAAUUGACGGGGGCCCGCACAAGCGGCGGAGCAUGUGGAUUAAUUCGAUGCAACGCGAAGAACCUUACCUGGGUUUGACAUGCACAGGACGCCGGCAGAGAUGUCGGUUCCCUUGUGGCCUGUGUGCAGGUGGUGCAUGGCUGUCGUCAGCUCGUGUCGUGAGAUGUUGGGUUAAGUCCCGCAACGAGCGCAACCCUUGUCUCAUGUUGCCAGCACGUUAUGGUGGGGACUCGUGAGAGACUGCCGGGGUCAACUCGGAGGAAGGUGGGGAUGACGUCAAGUCAUCAUGCCCCCUUAUGUCCAGGGCUUCACACAUGCUACAAUGGCCGGUACAAAGGGCUGCGAUGCCGUGAGGUGGAGCGAAUCCUUUCAAAGCCGGUCUCAGUUCGGAUCGGGGUCUGCAACUCGACCCCGUGAAGUCGGAGUCGCUAGUAAUCGCAGAUCAGCAACGCUGCGGUGAAUACGUUCCCGGGCCU
This 1331-nucleotide ribosomal RNA is filed under the name uncultured bacterium. RNAcentral describes it as "bacterial SSU rRNA". It matches the Rfam family "Bacterial small subunit ribosomal RNA", at positions 28 to 1381 of the family's 1533-position model. The record is from RNAcentral.